UUGUUAUAGAGAUGAGUAAAAACUACAAGUUUCCGUAGGUGAACCCUCGGAAGGGAUCAUUAGAUUGGAAUUAUCAAUGAUGCUCGAGUUCUUAUUUAGAUCCUUUACAAUACAUGUGUUUUCCUUAGUUGAGGAUGUGCGCAUGUAUUACGGCGAGCUUUCUAGAGGGUCGUCACAAAGUAGUCUUCGUUGACAGUCUAAUCAUCCCUUCACCACAAUGGAGGUCACGCCUUUUUGAAGUUAAAAAGCGUAACAAGGUUUCCGUAGGUGAACCUGCGGAAGGAUCAUUACUGAUUUGUUUAAUUGCACCACAUGUGUUUUUUAUUGAACAAAUUUUUUGGGUGGCGGGAGCAAUCCUACCGCCAGAGGUUAUAAUUAAACCAAACUUUUUAUUUACAGUCAAACUUGAUUUAUUAUUACAAUAGUCAAAACUUUCAACAACGGAUCUCUUGGUUCUCGCAUCGAUGAAGAACGCAGCGAAAUGCGAUACGUAAUAUGAAUUGCAGAUAUUCGUGAAUCAUCGAAUCUUUGAACGCCCAUUGCGCCCUUUGGUAUUCCAAAGGGCAUGCCUGUUUGAGCGUCAUUUCUCCCUCAAACCCCCGGGUUUGGUGUUGAGCAAUACGCUAGGUUUGUUUGAAAGAAUUUACGUGGAAACUUAUUUUAAGCGACUUAGGUUUAUCCAAAAACGCUUAUUUUGCUAGUGGCCACCACAAUGCUUUCAUACCUAGAAGCAAGACAUCAAGUACUAAUUUUA
This 754-nucleotide ribosomal RNA is filed under the name Candida tropicalis. RNAcentral's name for it is "partial ribosomal RNA". The stretch from base 430 to 583 matches the Rfam family "5.8S ribosomal RNA". Lineage: Eukaryota; Fungi; Ascomycota; Pichiomycetes; Serinales; Debaryomycetaceae. The record is from RNAcentral.